ACUUCCUGGGUCUCCUCCUGAUAGCACAUUCUGAUUGGGUUGCUGCUAAUGCGCUUUUGUCUUGGAAUGCGCCUCAAUUGACUUAGCUUGUAGAUUGUACAUCGCAAGGAGUCAAGGACAAACUAUGUGGAACUAUGAAACCAACAUUUUGUCUUUUUGCGUGUACAUUGUACUUGUACCAUUCUUCUCGUCUUGUCUUGGAAUUUUCCUUAUUGUGCUAAAUCAAUAAUCUUAUCAAGAAAUAUUGACCUCUUGUGAUAGACUUUGAUAUUCUUGUGUCCUGUGUUUGUUCUCUGGGAUCGUGCCUUAUAAUUAUGCUGAAAGCCUGAAAUCAGUCACUAAGACACUGUAGUAGCAUACGGGCUAGUGGAUAUGCAUCAUCUUCGGUUCGUCCCUGUUAUUGUACUCCCUCCUUCCUCGAUUGUAAGGCGUAUCAAGGAGUAUCACAGAUACCAAGGUGUGGAGUUAACGCUGCGGAGGUUAAUGCAGUGGAGGAUAAAUGCUGCGGAGAUUUUCUUGUGGUCAGCGUUAAUGCUGAGGUUUGCAUGGUGCAUGGCCGCAUGCAACGCUUCAAUCAGAGACUGCAUGGCCCCAUGCGCCUGUUUUCAACUGCACUUGAAAUUCUUUUCUCUCGCUUCGAGGUGGCGCGCCCUACAUACGUAGAAAAGUAGAAAAUCAUCGCACGCCUUAGAAAUGGGGAAGGAGGGAGUAGUUCAGGAGGUUCUUUUUUUUGUUUUUUUUUUAAGUUCAGGAGUGCAUUAGUGUUUAUCGAACUGCUGCUGAAUGUACUUUAUAUGCAAGGGUUUGGUUCCCUUUGGACGACUUUCGCACUGAUAAUGCAUGCUAAUUCUUUGAUUGCGUUUAGCAACUGAUUGACAUUGGUUGUUAUGUGAUUCUUUUUUCUUUUUUGUUUUUGAGAAAGCAGCUAUGCUAUCUUUCAAGCUCUGAAGGUUUCUUUCCAUUUUAUUUUCCCUUUUUGAAUGAUAUUUUUUUCUUUUUAUCUUAUAUGUGAAUGUUAGUUCACUUAAAUGGCAAGAUAGCGAUUACUGGUAACUUUGAGAGUCUUCCACGUUCCUAUCGUGAAGCUGUAUUUGCUUUCACGGCAAGGUCAGAACUUUUUGUUGAGAGCCUUUCAGCAAGCUGUGGUGAAACAUAUGCUGUUAUCUGUUAUAUUGUUCUUAAUAGUGAUAAAUCUAUGCCUUAAUUGUUACUUGUUAGACAAGUAGCAAUUAAACCUGCAUCUCACAUUACUGUUCAACUUCGAGCUCAAAACAAUAUACUAUGUACUUAUUUCAAUGCAUAGCAGUUGCACAUGGAGUACCAGUAGGGAGUAGGGAAAACAUAUAGAUAGAAAUAUGUUAUAGGAGGGACCAAGAGGGAAUCCCUUGUUUUUUUAUAAUGCUCUAAAGCAAUGAGUACUUCUAAAAUAUCAGAGCAGUAAUUUGUUCCUUUACAGUGUAUUCCCUUAUUUCGGAAGCCUACAGCCAUUUGGGUUAGCUGUGCUGGGGAACUGGUGACAUUCCCCAACUUAGCAUGCAAGCCACUGCAAUCAAAAUAUUUUCAUUUUUGGAACAGUGAACCUAAAAAUCCAUAAGAUUUCUAUCCUCUAAGAGUAUCUUUCUGUCACAGAUUACAUUGAACAACUGGCCUGGUUCAUGACAAUCUAUUGCAACUAAUAAACUAAAAAUUGACCACUUCUCCUGUAACCUUUUAUGGAAACUUUUGCCUCUAAAUUUGAUUCGAACUGUACCACAAUUUUGUAGAACAGAUGAUACCUUAUACCUUGAAAUGGCAUUCCUCAAAUGCAGACAUACUGAAGUGUAUAUCGGAUUCUAUGAUGUGUUGCUGUUUUGCUUCAAAGUUGUUCGAAACAUCGGAUACUGGAACUUGAUUUCCCAGAGGAGCAGAUUCAACUAUCAGAUUCUCUGACUGAGAUGAGCCAAGGUCAUUGGGAGGGCUGCCCAAAGUCAGAAAUUUAUACUCCAGAAAUGAUCAAUCUGAUGGAGAGCUCCCAACCUGAUUUCUCAGCACCAUCUGGUGAGUCCCUCAGGCAGGUACAGUUUCGGAUGAUGGAAUUCCUCAACCGGACCAUCCUAAGGCUACCAGAAAAGAUAGCAAUGGGGGACACACUAUCGCAACAAAAUGAGCCCAAAGGGUUCUCUCGGCAGAGCUCCAGCAAUUCUGUCCAAGAUGGUCCUCCUUGGGAUCUGCUGUACAGGCUUAACCGACAUAGCCUCCAAAAAAAGAAAUCUGGGAAGAGCCGACUCCAGUUUGUCACUUCAGGGGACAAUGAUCC
This is an RNA transcript of Panicum virgatum (switchgrass), 2296 nucleotides long. RefSeq lists it as uncharacterized. NCBI's taxonomy places the organism in Eukaryota, Viridiplantae, Streptophyta, Magnoliopsida, Poales, Poaceae. The transcript has 2 exons. The record is from RefSeq and is a predicted model, not a curated record.